Astatotilapia calliptera (eastern happy) is the source of this 1528-nucleotide long non-coding RNA. NCBI's taxonomy places the organism in Eukaryota, Metazoa, Chordata, Actinopteri, Cichliformes, Cichlidae. The record is from Ensembl.
GUAUAUGCUGCUGGUCUCUAAGGUUCAGGACAAUGCUGUUGUCUGGUCACCUGCUGUUGACUCUUGAUGUUGAUGUCCUUGCUCUGGAACUGUAUUUUGCCUUCAGGGAGAGCUUAGUUGUCCUUGAAGAUUGUUUGUGAGGAGGUGAAGCUGUAAAACGUUUAGCCAAAAACUUGGCCUGAUUGUAGUUUUAAUUAUGUUGGUGAUGGUGCUCUAUACUUUUUUAUAUCAUUUUUAUUUUUGUUAAUCCAUAUGUAGUGUAUGUGUGUCUGCAUUGUUUCACUCCCUGUUUUUAAUAGUGAUGUGGGCAAACCACAGCCUGCAGCUCCGACUGGAGGUCCCUCGUCCUGUCCUCAAUCCCUCUGAAUUUCGGAUUAGGACAGUCUCUCUUCCAGUGUCCCUUUUCUGUUGGAAAAAUUACACUUCGCUCUGGCGCUGUUGUUCUUAUGGUGGUGGUUUCGGUCAUCGGGGAGGGCGGGACUUCAGAUCGGAGUGGCUUUCAUCACUGCCUGCAGAAUGACGUAAGAACACGGUGGUGAAAUAGGCUAGCAUGUAUGUGUGGUGGAGCUGUGUGCUUAGCAGCGCCUGUUUCCACUUCAGCUCCUCUUUCUCCUGAAAAAGACAUCUCAUCAAAAGCUACCUUUUUCUCCCAUCUCUCUGAUUCCUCUCUUUUUGCCAUCUCACAACAUAGUUCAUGCUUUCUAUCCCACAUUUCUUUACCAUACAAUCAAAAAUCCAAAACAUUUUUUUUCCUUUUUGCCUGUCUCGUUCAGCACUGUAGCAAUCAGAAUUAUUAUCUGAAGGCCAAUAAAAAUGCCCAACGGAUUUAUUAUUAAGUGAUCAUUAUUGGUCCACUUGAUUGAGCUUUAUUAGUAUUUAUUUGUUUUAUUUAUUUAUUUUUUUAACCUUUAAGUUAUUACAAACAGAACAGACAUGACUGGGGGAUAGGAAAGGGAAAGAGACAGAGGAGAGACAUAGACAUGACAACACUGUUAGGAUGCCUGGGUCGUAGACCCAGGGUUUUUGAGUGUAUGAUAUUAUUUAUAUUUUCUAGUUUUUGGGUUUCUUUGAGUUCUGUCUCAUGGGUUAUGUCUCUGUCUUCUUUAGUUGCUCUGUCUCCCCUAUCACCUGCAUCCCCUUGUCUAGUUUGCGUCUAUGUGUAUCCUUAGUUCCUAUAUCCCCGUGUCCACUCAGUGUUUGUGUCUGCCCUGGUCCCACGUCUCUGUUCCCUCUGUAGUGCCUACAUGUGAGGCUGUGUCUUUGUUCAGUCUGUGUUAUGUGUUUCCUGUUUUACUUUGAAGGUCUCUGUCUUUUCUCAGUGUGUUCAGUUUAUGCUUCUUUGGUCUCGUCAGUUUUGAUUUGUCCCAGCUGUGUUUCCCUCCUGUUACUCAUUCCCUGAUUGCUCCCUCUGUGUAUUUAAGCCCUGUGUUUCUCUGUGUCCGUGUCGCGAUCUACCGUUUAUUUUGCUGUGUGUUUUGCCUGUCCACCGGUGUAAGUUUAUUUUGAGUUUUUCUAGUUAUGUCAUGUU